Small nuclear RNA from Neogale vison (American mink), 135 nucleotides. RefSeq annotates it as U4 spliceosomal RNA. NCBI's taxonomy places the organism in Eukaryota, Metazoa, Chordata, Mammalia, Carnivora, Mustelidae. The record is from RefSeq and is a predicted model, not a curated record. The transcript has a single exon.
AUGUUUGCGCAGUGGCAGUAUCGUAGCCAGUGAGGUUUAUCUGAGGCGCGAUUAUUGCUAAUUGAAUGCUUGGUAUAAAAGCAUGUCAAAUAUGUUAAUAAUGAUCAUAUUUGUGGGGUGCUAAAUGAUAAUAUU